RNAcentral lists this transfer RNA (71 nucleotides) under Argonauta hians. RNAcentral describes it as "tRNA-Leu". Lineage: Eukaryota; Metazoa; Mollusca; Cephalopoda; Octopoda; Argonautidae. The record is from RNAcentral.
GUUAAGGUGGCAGAAUGAUGUGAAGGAUUUAAGAUCCUUUUAUGAAAAUAAUUUUAUAUUUUUUCUUAACA